RNAcentral lists this ribosomal RNA (393 nucleotides) under uncultured bacterium. RNAcentral describes it as "bacterial SSU rRNA". It matches the Rfam family "Bacterial small subunit ribosomal RNA", at positions 30 to 402 of the family's 1533-position model. The record is from RNAcentral.
AGUGAACGCUGGCGGCAGGCCUAACACAUGCAAGUCGAGCGGCAGCGGGUUCCCGCGAGGGGAUGCCGGCGAGCGGCGGACGGGUGAGGAACACAUCGGAAUCUGCCUGGUUGUGGGGGAUAACGUAGGGAAACUUACGCUAAUACCGCAUGCGACCCUGAGUCGACGGACUGGGGGGUGAAAGUGAGGGACCUUCGGGCCUCACGCGACCAGAUGAGCCGAUGUCGGANAGCUAGUUGGCGGGGUAACGGCCCCGCCAAGGCGACGAUCCGUAGCUGGUCUGAGAGGAUGAUCAGCCACACUGGGACUGAGACACGGCCCCAGACUCCUACGGGGAGGCAGCAGUGGGGAAUCUUGGACAAUGGGCGCAAGCCUGAUCCAGCCAUGCCGCGU